AUUGAACGCUGGCGGCAGGCCUAACACAUGCCAGUCGAACGGUAACAGGAAGCAGCUUGCUGCUUUGCUGACGAGUGGCGGACGGGUGAGUAAUGUCUGGGAAACUGCCCGAUGGAGGGGGAUAACUACUGGAAACGGUAGCUAAUACCGCAUAACGUCGCAAGACCAAAGAGGGGGACCUUAGGGCCUCUUGCCAUCGGAUGUGCCCAGAUGGGAUUAGCUAGUAGGUGGGGUAACGGCUCACCUAGGCGACGAUCCCUAGCUGGUCUGAGAGGAUGACCGGCCCAACGGGAACGAGACCAGGGUCCAGACCCCUACGGGGGGCAGCAGUGGGGAAUAUUGAACAAGGGGCGCAAGCCUGAUGCAGCCAUGCCGGGGGUAUGAAGAAGGCCUUCGGGUUGUAAAGUACUUUCAGCGGGGAGGAAGGGAGUAAAGUUAAUACCUUUGCUCAUUGACGUUACCCGCAGAAAAAGCACCGGCUAACUCCGG
RNAcentral lists this ribosomal RNA (489 nucleotides) under uncultured bacterium. Its description in RNAcentral is "partial 16S ribosomal RNA". It matches the Rfam family "Bacterial small subunit ribosomal RNA", at positions 29 to 506 of the family's 1533-position model. The record is from RNAcentral.